UUUGAAGCUUCAGUGUUGGAGGUCCUUCA
This 29-nucleotide non-coding RNA is filed under the name Rattus norvegicus (Norway rat). Lineage: Eukaryota; Metazoa; Chordata; Mammalia; Rodentia; Muridae. The record is from RNAcentral.